This 245-nucleotide ribosomal RNA is filed under the name uncultured bacterium. RNAcentral's name for it is "partial 16S ribosomal RNA". It matches the Rfam family "Bacterial small subunit ribosomal RNA", at positions 99 to 334 of the family's 1533-position model. The record is from RNAcentral.
CGGACGGGUGAGUAACACGUAGAUAACCUGCCCUACAGUGGGGAAUAACCACUCGAAAGAGUGGCUAAUACCGCAUAAGUUCUCUUUCGUUAGAAGGAGAGGAAACCUUUUCCGUGACAGGAGAGGGGCUGAAGGAGGGGUCUGCGGCGGAUUAGCUAGUUGGUGGGGUAACGGCCUACCAAGGCGACGAUCCGUAGCUGGUCUGAGAGGACGGCCAGCCACACUGGGACUGAGACACGGCCCAG